GUACACUCCUGCGGGAGGCAGCAGUGGGGAAUUUUGGACAAUGGGCGAAAGCCUGAUCCAGCAAUGCCGCGUGAGUGAAGAAGGCCUUCGGGUUGUAAAGCUCUUUUGUCAGGGAAGAAACGGUGAGAGCUAAUAUCUCUUGCUAAUGACGGUACCUGAAGAAUAAGCACCGGCUAACUACGUGCCAGCAGCCGCGGUAAUACGUAGGGUGCAAGCGUUAAUCGGAAUUACUGGGCGUAAAGCGUGCGCAGGCGGUUUUGUAAGUCUGAUGUGAAAUCCCCGGGCUCAACCUGGGAAUUGCAUUGGAGACUGCAAGGCUAGAAUCUGGCAGAGGGGGGUAGAAUUCCACGUGUAGCAGUGAAAUGCGUAGAUAUGUGGAGGAACACCGAUGGCGAAGGCAGCCCCCUGGGUCAAGAUUGACGCUCAUGCACGAAAGCGUGGGGAGCAAACAGGAUUAGAAACCCCUGUAUCCCAUG
RNAcentral lists this ribosomal RNA (476 nucleotides) under uncultured organism. RNAcentral's name for it is "partial 16S ribosomal RNA". It matches the Rfam family "Bacterial small subunit ribosomal RNA", at positions 331 to 799 of the family's 1533-position model. The record is from RNAcentral.